UGGGGAAUAUUGCACAAUGGGGGAAACCCUGAUGCAGCGACGCCGCGUGAGCGAAGAAGGUUUUCGAAUCGUAAAGCUCUGUCCUAUGAGAAGAUAAUGACGGUAUCAUAGGAGGAAGCCCUGGCUAAAUACGUGCCAGCAGCCGCGGUAAUACGUAUGGGGCGAGCGUUGUCCGGAAUUAUUGGGCGUAAAGGGUACGUAGGUGGUUUUUUAAGUCAGGUGUCAAAGCGUGGAGCUUAACUCCAUUAAGCACUUGAAACUGAAAGACUUGAGUUAAGGAGAGGAACGUGGAAUUCCUAGUGUAGCGGUAAAAUGCGUAGAUAUUAGGAGGAAUACCGGUGGCGAAGGCGACUUGCUGGACUUUUACAGACGCUCAGGUACUAAAGCGUGGGGAGCAAACAGG
Molecule: ribosomal RNA, 403 nt
Filed under: Verrucomicrobiota bacterium
Lineage: Bacteria; Pseudomonadati; Verrucomicrobiota
Description: Verrucomicrobia bacterium partial 16S ribosomal RNA
Rfam family: Bacterial small subunit ribosomal RNA
Source: RNAcentral